AUCUCUAUUUCAAGCAACAGGGUAGAAGGGCAGAAAAAGCAAGAAUAUUGGUGUAUGCUUGCUGUUUUUUGAGAAUGGUUUCUGUAAGUCAUUGCUUAAUAGGUUGCUUUCCUUAUAACUCAUUGUCUAGACCAUAGUAUGUAGGCAUGUUGAGCUCCAAGGGGUUUGGAGGACUGUGGUCUUCAAGAUAACAAUUAAGGUAUUCUAUUCGCAUGAAAAAGGAAGGAUUAGAUAAUGAAAGAGGAGCAGUAUCUGUCAUAGCUGAAAAUAGACAGAAAGAUAGUUAAAGAGUGAGACUUGAAUAAGGGUUUCUGUCUACUGAAAUGUUAUCAAAUGCUCAUAAAAAUUUUAAAUAUACUUUUAAAUAGAACAUCUGAAAAAUUUUAAAUAUACCUUUAAACAGAAUGUCUGAAAAAUUUUAAAUAUACUUUAAAAUAGAACAAUUAAAUAUAAUACUUUGUAUCCUUGCUGUGAGAGUAAAACUGUGCCAUUUAAAAUUGAGUCACUACUGUUAAAAUAGUCACCACUGUUAAAAUAGAGUUAAAAUAUUUCAAUCAAAUAUUUAUAUUUCAAAUAAUUUUGACGAUAAUAGUAUAGCUUUGGCAAGGAGUUGAGUACAACCAGUGAUUUAAAAAAAUCACAAGAUUAUAUUGUUGAAAAUUUUAAAAUGCUAAAUCAAUAAAAGAAAUUUUAAAAGUUAGAUUUAAAAAGUCUUGAAUAGAUUUGUUUCUUGAAGACAAAU
RNAcentral lists this long non-coding RNA (742 nucleotides) under Homo sapiens (human). RNAcentral's name for it is "HSALNT0327750". Lineage: Eukaryota; Metazoa; Chordata; Mammalia; Primates; Hominidae. The record is from RNAcentral.